This 2324-nucleotide long non-coding RNA is filed under the name Citrus sinensis (sweet orange). RNAcentral's name for it is "long non-coding RNA (CSIN_LNC000047)". The record is from RNAcentral. Lineage: Eukaryota; Viridiplantae; Streptophyta; Magnoliopsida; Sapindales; Rutaceae.
AAAGAUCGUGCAGUACUCUUUUAGAGAUAAUAUGGGGUGUCAAUAAUGCGUAUGAAGUAUUCUGAUAAUUUGUUUAAGUUGUAAAAGAGAAAAUUGCAGAAACUGACCAGCGAAGAGAUAAUAAGUAUUCCAGGUAAAUAGUAUUUGACGAACAAAGUAUUUUAGAGAACUUAAAAUUUCACAUUAAAAAAAUCUUCAAUUUAUAUAAAAGGAGUAUAAAAUUAAAUGAAAAAACAAACUUAUCUUUCGUGUUGGAUGUCUUGUGAAUAACAUUUUUUUUUUUUUUGAUCAUUUGACAAAGGGCACCUCUGCUUGUUCCAAGCUACCAGUUGUUUUUGUUGGAUUGCCUUGUGUCUCUACGAGCUUCACAGAUAUCAUCUUGCCUUAGAAGUCCCUUUUGCUGCUCACUUGAUGCAUGUACAGUGCCGCUUUUAUUCAUAUCUGUAUGGUUUGGCGAUGUUUGUAUGUUAUCUUUGUUGAUGCCCUCUAGCUUUACAACAUCCUUUUGUUGACCUUUAAGCAAUAAUUGCCUUCCUUGUCCAAGACUGCUGUUAUCUGUAUAUUGAUCUUGUUUAGGAGCAUUGCUGGUUUUCAUUGGGGAGUCCGAUUUCUUCUCAAUUGGGCUCCCAUAGCUGGUUUCCUGCUUGAUAAGACCCUUUUGCUUCUCAUUCGACAACAAACGACACUCUUCUGGGGUGCUAACAAUUUUGCUUGGAAGCUCAAUCUUUUGUUGUUCUUUUGAUAUUAGCUGACCUGGUUGAGUACUACUGUUUUCAGUUCUCACCGGAGAGUAACCCUUUAGUUGCUGCUUUGAUGAUUGCUGAUCUGUUUCCGUGCUAACUGUUUUCCUUGGAGGUUCAAUCUUCUGUUUUUCUUUUGACCAAGCCUUCCCUGCUUCAGUACUACUGCUUCCAGUUUUCCUCGGACUUUCAAUCUUUUGCUGUUCUUUUGACAAGAAGUCACCACCUGCUUCCGCGCUUCUAACAGUUUUCGUUGGAGGGUUGGCCUUUUUUUGUUCAUUCGGCAACAGGUGACUUACUUCAGGGCUGCCAAGAGUUUUCGUUGGAGGGUAAAGCUUUUGUUGUACUUCCGGGCUGCCAAGAGUUUUCAUUGGAGUGUAAAGCUUUUGUUGUACUUCCGGGCUGCCAAGAGUUUUCGUUGGAGGGUAAAUCUUUUUUUGUACUUCAGGGCUUCCAAGUGUUUUAGUUGGAGGGUAAACCUUUUGUUGUACUUCAGGGCUGCCAAGAGUUUUCGUUGGAGGGUAAAACCUUUGUUGUACUUCAGGGCUGCCAAGAGCUUUCGUUGGAGGGUAAACCUUUUGUUGUACUUCAGGGCUGCCAAGAGCUUUCGUUGGAGGGUAAACCUUCAGUUGUAUUUCAGGGCUGCCAAGAGUUUUCAUUGGAGAGUGACCUUUCUGUUGUUUUCUUGACAAAUCAGCUUCAGGACUGAUAAAUUUGCUCUCUGGAGUGAUCGGCAUCUUGUCUUCAAAACUUUCGAAGCUGCUUUCUCGCUUGUCCUUUAACCAUCCCUGGCCUGCAUCAGACCCGCUAACAGUUUCCACGACACGGUCCGGCUUCUUUUCUUCCGAAAGGCUUCCACCGCCCAUAUAACCUUGCCUUUGAAUUGCUUCUCCGUUGCUGAUAUUGGCAGCCGGUAUCCAGCUGGGAUGGUCUACAUCUUGUUUCGUUUCACCAUUUCGUUGUCCAUCUGGCAUAGUUCCUUUACCAGAACCUGAGGCUGUGUGACCUUUUCUAUCAUCUCGAUUCGCAGCCUUGGCAGAACGGGAUGAUUUGAGACAACAACAUGAUGUUUGAUCUUCAGGUUCUUCAUUGCCUUUUCCGUGAUCAUUCCCAGGUGGGGUGUCACCCUGACGGUGAGCAGUCCCAGACAUUUUCUAAUUAAAUAUGCCCCAAUAUGUUUCUGCAUUAGUGCAUCUACCUUCACAUUUCACCUAACCAAGAUCUAGGAAAGCUUGCAAGAUUUUUUUUUCUUUUUCCAAAUUUAUCCAGAGCAAUAAAAUUGUUGUAUCCUGGAAGAUAAAGUUGUGCCAAGAUUCUUCAAUUAAUUAAUUAAUAAUAAUAACUUUCCUUCCGUAACACUCAUUCUCGCAAGUGCUUUUUAAAAUUGCUAAAGAUUCUUCAAUUGAAAAUUUUCACGUCAGUCGGGUGUUAUUGAGAUGCCUUUAUCACAAAGAAUGGCUCAGAAUAAGAACUUCCGGUUCUAUUGAGCCGUAUAUUGUAUCAGUUGCUUUGCGAAUUUUGGCUUUUGCAGUUCCUAGUUAGUAGUAAAAUUAUCACCCUUGUAUCAUAUGGGUAAAGGGAAAG